This 1697-nucleotide ribosomal RNA is filed under the name Pyrenophora tritici-repentis. Its description in RNAcentral is "SSU rRNA". It matches the Rfam family "Eukaryotic small subunit ribosomal RNA". Lineage: Eukaryota; Fungi; Ascomycota; Dothideomycetes; Pleosporales; Pleosporaceae. The record is from RNAcentral.
UCUCAAAGAUUAAGCCAUGCAUGUCUAAGUAUAAGCAAUUAUACCGUGAAACUGCGAAUGGCUCAUUAAAUCAGUUAUCGUUUAUUUGAUAAUACCUUACUACUUGGAUAACCGUGGUAAUUCUAGAGCUAAUACAUGCUGAAAAUCCCGACUUCGGAAGGGAUGUGUUUAUUAGAUAAAAAACCAAUGCCCUUCGGGGCUCCUUGGUGAUUCAUAAUAACUUUACGGAUCGCAUAGCCUUGCGCUGGCGACGGUUCAUUCAAAUUUCUGCCCUAUCAACUUUCGAUGGUAAGGUAUUGGCUUACCAUGGUUUCAACGGGUAACGGGGAAUUAGGGUUCGAUUCCGGAGAGGGAGCCUGAGAAACGGCUACCACAUCCAAGGAAGGCAGCAGGCGCGCAAAUUACCCAAUCCCGAUUCGGGGAGGUAGUGACAAUAAAUACUGAUACAGGGCUCUUUUGGGUCUUGUAAUUGGAAUGAGUACAAUUUAAACCUCUUAACGAGGAACAAUUGGAGGGCAAGUCUGGUGCCAGCAGCCGCGGUAAUUCCAGCUCCAAUAGCGUAUAUUAAAGUUGUUGCAGUUAAAAAGCUCGUAGUUGAAACUUGGGUCUGGCUGGCGGGUCCGCCUCACCGCGUGCACUCGUCCGGCCGGGCCUUCCUUCUGAAGAACCUCAUGCCCUUUACUGGGCGUGUUGGGGAAUCAGGACUUUUACUUUGAAAAAAUUAGAGUGUUCAAAGCAGGCCUUUGCUCGAAUACGUUAGCAUGGAAUAAUAAAAUAGGGCGUGCGUUUCUAUUUUGUUGGUUUCUAGAGACGCCGCAAUGAUUAACAGGAACAGUCGGGGGCAUCAGUAUUCAGUUGUCAGAGGUGAAAUUCUUGGAUUUACUGAAGACUAACUACUGCGAAAGCAUUUGCCAAGGAUGUUUUCAUUAAUCAGUGAACGAAAGUUAGGGGAUCGAAGACGAUCAGAUACCGUCGUAGUCUUAACCGUAAACUAUGCCGACUAGGGAUCGGGCGAUGUUCUUUUUCUGACUCGCUCGGCACCUUACGAGAAAUCAAAGUUUUUGGGUUCUGGGGGGAUUAUGGUCGCAAGGCUGAAACUUAAAGAAAUUGACGGAAGGUCACCACCAGGCGUGGAGCCUGCGGCUUAAUUUGACUCAACACGGGGAAACUCACCAGGUUCAGAUGAAAUAAGGAUUGACAGAUUGAGAGCUCUUUCUUGAUUUUUCAGGUGGUGGUGCAUGGCCGUUCUUAGUUCGUGGGGUGACUUGUCUGCUUAAUUGCGAUAACGAGCGAGACCUUACUCUGCUAAAUAGCCAGGCUAGCUUUGGCUGGUCGCCGGCUUCUUAGAGAGACUAUCAACUCAAGUUGAUGGAAGUUUGAGGCAAUAACAGGUCUGUGAUGCCCUUAGAUAUUCUGGGCCGCACGCGCGCUACACUGACAGAGCCAACGAGUUCUUUCCCUUGGCCGAAAGGUCUGGGUAAUCUUGUUAAACUCUGUCGUGCUGGGGAUAAAGCAUUGCAAUUAUUGCUUUUCAACGAGGAAUGCCUAGUAAGCGCGUGUCAUCAGCAUGCGUUGAUUACGUCCCUGACCUUUGUACACACCGCCCGUCGCUACUACCGAUUGAAUGGCUCAGUGAGGCCUUCGGACUGGCUCGGGGAGGUUGGCAACGACCACCCCAAGCCGGAAAGUUGGUCAAA